RNAcentral lists this ribosomal RNA (615 nucleotides) under Alternaria alternata. Its description in RNAcentral is "partial large subunit ribosomal RNA". It matches the Rfam family "Eukaryotic large subunit ribosomal RNA", at positions 37 to 668 of the family's 3401-position model. The record is from RNAcentral. Lineage: Eukaryota; Fungi; Ascomycota; Dothideomycetes; Pleosporales; Pleosporaceae.
UGCAUAUCAAAAGCGGAGGAAAAGAAACCAACAGGGAUUGGCCUAGUAACGGCGAGUGAAGCGGCAACAGCUCAAAUUUGAAAUCUGGCUCUUUUAGAGUCCGAGUUGUAAUUUGCAGAGGGCGCUUUGGCUUUGGCAGCGGUCCAAGUUCCUUGGAACAGGACGUCACAGAGGGUGAGAAUCCCGUACGUGGUCGCUGGCUAUUGCCGUGUAAAGCCCCUUCGACGAGUCGAGUUGUUUGGGAAUGCAGCUCUAAAUGGGAGGUACAUUUCUUCUAAAGCUAAAUAUUGGCCAGAGACCGAUAGCGCACAAGUAGAGUGAUCGAAAGAUGAAAAGCACUUUGGAAAGAGAGUCAAACAGCACGUGAAAUUGUUGAAAGGGAAGCGCUUGCAGCCAGACUUGCUUACAGUUGCUCAUCCGGGUUUUUACCCGGUGCACUCUUCUGUAGGCAGGCCAGCAUCAGUUUGGGCGGUAGGAUAAAGGUCUCUGUCACGUACCUCCUUUCGGGGAGGCCUUAUAGGGGAGACGACAUACUACCAGCCUGGACUGAGGUCCGCGCAUCUGCUAGGAUGCUGGCGUAAUGGCUGUAAGCGGCCCGUCUUGAAACACGGACCA